This 4137-nucleotide long non-coding RNA is filed under the name Homo sapiens (human). Its description in RNAcentral is "neuronal hypoxia inducible, placenta associated, transcript variant 9 (NHIP)". Lineage: Eukaryota; Metazoa; Chordata; Mammalia; Primates; Hominidae. The record is from RNAcentral.
GUCUUGCAGGCUGGGGUCCCAGGUGAGAGAUGCCAGCAGGGAGCUCUAGAUGGGGAACUGGGUGAGCCUGGCUCGGUAAGGGCGUGCUCAGAACACCCCAUCCCCGAACACGGUCUUGUGUGAUAAAAUGUCACGCAAGAAGAAUCUGAAACCGCGAGAAGAGGAGGACACGGCCAGACUGCACCGAACCCCGGCACCUCUGUGGGGAAAAGCAGGUCAGGCUGAGCGGGGCCGGCGGGGACACGCGCUCCUGGGCUUCUCCAGAGUCUGCCGGGGCCGGGCCCGGGACCGAGGCUGGGACGCGCUGUGCAGUCCCACCCCUCACACCCCUCGCACGCCUGGAAACACCCUCGGGGUAACACAAGCCGGGGUUGAGUUUCUUGAAGAGAAGCUGGCUGCAUCCUGGAGCCAGGGAAAGAGGAGCACAGGGGCCAAGCGGUCCAGGGCCACGGAGGAGCAGGACCCCUGGGGAAAGGCCCGGGUCUAGGCCGGGGCCAGGGGACCGUGGUGGAGACCUCAAAAAUGGCAGAACACGGAAGCAGGGCGAGAAAAGUAAACGUAGUCCUUGCGGCAGUUUGAAAUACACGCGGGUAAACGCUGGGUGACUCCGCCCGGAUGCAGAGUGGGGGUCUGUGUCUCUCCCCACAGGCUGCAGGGACCGGGCUCUGGGUAACCAGCAGAAGGUAACAGAACGAGGCUGCUUUUCCUCCAGGCUGUUCUGGUGUCCGCGCGUGGCUUGUGCGCUGACUCCUGACUUGGAGCGCCGCGUGGCCAGAGAAAUCUGGGUGCCUCCAGGCCACCAUGGUGAGAGGAGAGGCCACCGCACGAACGGAAGAAGCGAUGGAGACGGUCUUUACGACCUAAGAACAGAAAGAGUUUCUUAUACACAAUCCGAAAAGUAAAAAUUGAUUGAUUGAUUGAUUGAGAUGGAAUCCCACUCUGUCGUCCAGGUUAGAGUGCAAUGGCUUGAUCUCGGCUCAUUGCAACCUCCGCCUCCCGGGUUCAAGCGAUUCUCCUGCCUCAGUCUCCCGAGUAGCUGGGAUUAUAGGCGCCCGCCACCACGACUGGCUAAUUUUUAUAUUUUUAGUAGAGACGCAGUUUCACCGUGUUGACCAGGCUGGUCUUGAACCCCUGACCUCAGGUGAUCCGCCUGCCUCGGUCUCCCAAAGUGCUGGGAUUACAGGCGUGAGCCACCGUGCUGGGCCAAAAAUCAAUUUUAAAACGACCACAUGAAAAAUAAAUCUCCUGUAUCACAGAGCAUGUUCUGAGGAAAAUGAAAGCCACAGAUCCAGAAGAUAUUUGUGACACAUAUGAAAAACAAAAACUCAUAUUCAAAACAUACACAGCAUUGCUAUGAAUCAUUAAGAAAAAUGAUUUCGUCUCCUCUACAGGAGCCUGAGUGAAGGACAAGGACAGAUCAUUAUAAACCAGGGAGCUUGAAGAGCUAGUUAACAAGCACAGAAAAUAUGUUCCCCCACACUGUUAAUCAAGAAAAUUAAAACUGUAAUGAGAUGCCGCAUUGUAUCCAUGGGAUUUCUAAAAGUACAAAGUUCCACAAUACCCGUUGUUGACGGAGCAGGGAAACCGCAGGAGCCUGCAGGAGAUGAGAUUGUAAAUGUGCAAGGACAUUUUGGAGAAGAGUUGACAACAUCUCACUCACGUGUAUCAAGCCAAGUGCCGAAAGAAGAAUUGGUUGUCAUAAAGAAAACAGAAACCCAGAAUGGAUGUAGCUUAUCCCUCCGAUGGAAAGUUACAAAGAAGUUAAAAUGAAUGGGCUGCAUCUCUGUGUAACAAUUUGGAUCAAUAUCAAAGACACAUUUGUUAAAGCAAGGUGUACAAUGAAACCUGCAACAUGAUUUGUCUGUUUAGUAAAACACAGAAAAUCUAACUCCGCCUGGCUUACGAACACACACAUGUGUUAGAAUUUGGGAAAAGGAAAGGGAGGGAGGCCGGCUACACGUGAACUUUUGGAAAAUCUCAGAGGGUCUGGGGCACCAGGUGGAGACCAUGGCAGCCUUCAGGGAUAUGAGAAGGAUGUGUUUGCUUCCCCUUCUGCCAUGAUUGGAAGUUUCCUGAGACCCCUCCAGCCAUGCUGAACUGAUUUCCUGAAGACACCAUCCCAGUCAAGUGGUCUGCCUCAUACUGAGCCACCAGACCACCCAGCAUGUCCUCACCCGCGUGGACAGAUGACAGGGGGCUCUGAGCAUGCCCCAGUGCACCUUACGCACCUGUGAAGGUUGGGAGCCUGAGUGCAGCUCCUGUGGCACUGCCCGUGGCCAGGGAGAUGCCUCCUCAGUGCUCCUGACCCUCGGUGGAGGACCGGCCAGCGUGUGUGCCGACAGUGUGUCCACACAGGUGUGCUGCGCCCAAUGGGCAAGUCGGAAACAAAGGAAAAUGCUCUCUGAAGGAAAAGGCAAAGCAAUUUGGAUUUCUGCGAGAAAAUGAGACUGCAUGUGGCACUGGACACUACACAGGCCCGUGACCAUCACACGCCCAGCCUGGCCCCGUGCUGUGCCUGAGCAGAGGACUGUUGGCAGAUGGUUCACUUCCACCCUCCAUGAUAAAUGCUGAGAAAAGAAAGAUCAAGGGCUUCAGAGCCCACUGGAGGGAAUUCAUACAGCCGGGGGCCCAGGAAGCUGCUAAGGAAACUGCCUGGACGGCAGGGUGGCCGUGACCACGGGGACGGGGAGAAGGACCCAGAGGAGCUGAGGAAUCCUUGCUGUGGAAGGCACCAUAUGAGCUGCGUGAAGUCAGAGUCAAAAGCAAACCCGUCUCUUCUUGACAGUGGGACCCAGGAGGCAGGACAACCUGCCAGAGAGGCUGAAGGAGGUUCCCUCAGGCUGGAUCCUCGACAAGAAAAAGGAAGAGGGUCUGCCUGAUUCCCUCGCCAACAACAGCUGGUCUUCCAGAAGUCAGCAAUCUCUUGUCCCUUGUCUUCAAAAGCCCAUGGAGCUGGAGGCAGGCAGCUGAGGUCAGGAAGAGAAGGUGCGACCCAGUCCAGGAAGGCUGAGUCCUCGUGAACCCUCAGGGCUGGGGUGAGGGGCCAGUGCCCGGCCCAGACACCAGCACAGCCCUGCAGUGGGAGUUGAUCUCAGCAGAUGGACGGGCACCGCCCAGAGGAUGGACUGGUCAGCACCGCCCGGAGGAUGGACCGCUCAGCACCGCAGUGGCCGCUUGGCCUAAUUUGCCACCUGAAGAGCCGCCAGGUCUCCAGUGACUCUAGCACCAUGGACAGGAGAGGAGCAGGGUGACCUGAGGGUACAGAGAAGGUUCUGCUGUAAUCAAGUUCCCCUGCCUGGUCAGAGGGCUCAGAGGUUUGAGAGGGGAGGGAUUUCCUUUUAAAGCUGCAGGAUCCCUGUGGGUCCAGAAAGAAACACAGCCAUGGCGGGCAUCCCAUGGAGGGUAGUGACCAGGAGCAGGACAAAGGUGGAAGGUGGGUGGAGCCCCCACAUGGGCCUCAGGUCACAUUGGACAUUUCCUCAGCAAGUGUCACCUGGGUGGUGACGAAUGGGGGAGGAGAACAGAUGGAAUGCGGAGAGUAGCAGUGUGAAGCUGCACCGCCUGGUCACCACUCGAGAUACACAGGGUUUGCUCUGCCUGAGGAGCACACGCUGGCUGCAGACACGGGGCAACCACGUGAGAAAGGUCAGACCCAGGCCCACUCGCCUUCCAUAUGCAUCUUAGGGACGGGGAUGCCUGCGCCAGCAGCAGCCUUGCUGCCCCUGCGUCCCCCAGUGCACCUGCCAGGGCAAAGCCAACAGGCAGUGCCAAGGACCUGAGGGAGGAGGUGGGCUUGACUUCGAGGCAGGGCACAGACACCAGACCACGUGGAGGAGCAGCUGAAACAGGGCCGGUGGCAGCAGCCGCCUGUGAGACGUGCCAGCCGGUGAGCCUUGUUAGUUUACCAUUGCCACGGCAAGACCCAGAAGUUACUGCCACUUCCCACGGUAAAAUCCCAAUGACCCUGAGGUUUCUGCUCCUUUUCUAGAAAUUUCUGCAUAAACCAACCCCUAAUUAGCAUGUAGUUAAAAGUGGGUGUAAUUAUGAUGCGGAGCUGCCUCUGAGCUGCUCUUCUGUGCACUCUGCUGUCCUGGGGCAGCCCCUCUGCUGCCGCUGCAAUAAAAGCUGCUAACAGCA